UAAGGAAUAUUGGGCAAUGGACGCAAGUCUGACCCAGCCAUCCCGCGUGCAGGACGAAUGCCCUAUGGGUUGUAAACUGCUUUUGUUUGGGAAGAAAUGUAUUCUUUUAAGAGUAUUUGACGGUACCAGACGAAUAAGCACCGGCUAACUCCGUGCCAGCAGCCGCGGUAAUACGGAGGGUGCAAGCGUUAUCCGGAAUCACUGGGUUUAAAGGGUGCGUAGGCGGCCAGAUAAGUCAGAGGUGAAAGU
This 249-nucleotide ribosomal RNA is filed under the name uncultured Saprospiraceae bacterium. RNAcentral describes it as "partial 16S ribosomal RNA". It matches the Rfam family "Bacterial small subunit ribosomal RNA", at positions 355 to 601 of the family's 1533-position model. Lineage: Bacteria; Pseudomonadati; Bacteroidota; Saprospiria; Saprospirales; Saprospiraceae. The record is from RNAcentral.